RNAcentral lists this small RNA (1371 nucleotides) under Drosophila yakuba. RNAcentral describes it as "GE28768". The record is from RNAcentral. Lineage: Eukaryota; Metazoa; Arthropoda; Insecta; Diptera; Drosophilidae.
CUCACCAUAAAUUACACCCGUUCACACCCCUUUUCCGUUGAUAUUUCCAUUUUGGUUUUCGAUUCCGGUGAACGUCUGUCACAUUUGCACGCCGUUUGCCUCGUUUGGUUUGUUUGCCUGUGGAUUCAUAAUUGCAGCAGCUCGCAAGGAUUAACCAUGUCAGGGCAACUAAUUUGCAUAUCCGAAAAGGGACAGCGAACGGAAGUCAAUGGAGGUUAAAUUAUGACAGGAGGCGCAUGUGUCAAAAAGUAAACAACUCGGCAUUUGCAUAGGCAAAUUAAAAUGGCUUAGUGCUUCUUUAUUGGCCGCUGUGGAAAGGUAAACAAUUUUGCCAAAGUAUUAGCUGGAUUUUCGAAGGGCAUCCUUGGGACUUUGGAGUGGAGCAAGAUGGUCUGCAUUUCUUUUCAUUUUACGGAACGUGACCCAGCCUGUUCGAGAGGCUUACGGAUUGGCGUCCGCGUCCGGGUUUAUGGCCACAAAAACGAAUACAGAUACGGAUACGGGAUACGCUUAAUUGCCACAGCCUUUUCCACGCGGCUCGCUCGUAAAUCUCAACAGGCAGCCACAUCAGGACAAAUUAAUACGGGCGCAGCAGUCCAUGGAGCUCCAUUCAUUGCGGUCAUGUAGCGUCUUAGCCGCAUAUCCCUUAAAUGAUGUACCAAGGAGUGCUCGAGGGUCGGGGCUCGAAUAUCAGAUACCUCGCGGAAGAAGGUUCUAUUUUUAUUUCCCUCGCCUUUGGAAUAUUACUCUCUAUAUUCUCUAUAUUUCAAAAGAACUGUAGAACUGAGUAUGAGAAUAAUCCAUGCUAGAUAGUUCUCACAAGCCAAUCCAGAUCCCAUCAUACCACUUCCGCCCACUUUUCGAUGGGUAUUAAAAGAAGCUGGAUGAAGAAACAGCAGCAGUGCAAAAAAAAAGGAAAUGAAAAUGCCAGCAAAAUUGUAGAAAAAAGGCCAAACGAUGGCCAUAAAUGGAUCAACUCGCCAACUCGCGCACCUGAGGCCACGCAGGAUGCCAGGAUGGCAGGAUAACAGUGCAGGAGCAGGAGCAGAAGGAGCAGGACCCCUGGCAACUGGAAGGGCAAUAAUAGCCGGAGAGAGUGCCGCCGUUUUAUGGCCCAAACAUGCGUCCACAUCCCCGCAAGGAUACCACCACCACCACCUACGAGUACAUCUCCCUUCGGUUUCAGCUGCAACAAAUCAGUGCAAGGAUUUUUUUACGAUUAACUGCGUAAUUGAGUCGUUUGGCUAAGGAAGACGCAGCCACAGGACGAAUUCCGGCCAGGGUAAAUUUAAUUAAACUGUAAUAAAGCAAAUCCCGUUCCCGCCCUUUUUGUAAUGAGGGCUAAAUCGGGCUUAAGCAAACCGCCCACUA